GACAGUCCCAGGCUGGGCCACCGCCGGCAGACACCAUGCAGCUCCAGGCCUCCUUCUCCUUUUUCCUGAUCCUUACCUUCUGCCAAGAGCUUUGCUCAGAACCAAGACAAGCCAGGAAGUCCUUACCGUCUAUGUGCACACUUCCCAUGGAAAAAGGCGAAUGUCGCGCCAUCUUUGUGAGAUGGUACUAUGACACCAAAACUAAGAAGUGUGACUGGUUCCACUAUGGAGGCUGCAGAGGCAACGAGAACAACUUUCUGAGCAGAAACCAGUGCCAGACAGUCUGCGCAAGCACCUGACUUGUCAAGCCAUCCCAGCCCUCCACCGAGUCAAGCUCCCUAAGGGACCCCCUGAAGGCUUUUGCUUGUGAAUAAAAAGUGCAUUUCUCUAAAUACGUUUCCCUAAGAUUAUGUCUACCGGAAUCAAAUAAAUGUUGUUAUCCUGUUUAAAAA
This 452-nucleotide long non-coding RNA is filed under the name Rattus norvegicus (Norway rat). Its description in RNAcentral is "long non-coding RNA NONRATT019937". Lineage: Eukaryota; Metazoa; Chordata; Mammalia; Rodentia; Muridae. The record is from RNAcentral.